ACGGGUGAGUAACGCGUGGGAAUCUACCGUGCCCUGCGGAAUAGCUCCGGGAAACUGGAAUUAAUACCGCAUACGCCCUACGGGGGAAAGAUUUAUCGGGGUAUGAUGAGCCCGCGUUGGAUUACCUAGUUGGUGGGGUAAAGGCCUACCAAGGCGACGAUCCAUAGCUGGUCUGAGAGGAUGAUCAGCCACAUUGGGACUGAGACACGGCCCAAACUCCUACGGGAGGCAGCAGUGGGGAAUAUUGGACAAUGGGCGCAAGCCUGAUCCAGCCAUGCCGCGUGAGUGAUGAAGGCCUUAGGGUUGUAAAGCUCUUUCACCGGAGAAGAUAAUGACGGUAUCCGGAGAAGAAGCCCCGGCUAACUUCGUGCCAGCAGCCGCGGUAAUACGAAGGGGGCUAGCGUUGUUCGGAAUUACUGGGCGUAAAGCGCACGUAGGCGGAUAUUUAAGUCAGGGGUGAAAUCCCAGAGCUCAACUCUGGAACUGCCUUUGAUACUGGGUAUCUUGAGUAUGGAAGAGGUAAGUGGAAUUCCGAGUGUAGAGGUGAAAUUCGUAGA
RNAcentral lists this ribosomal RNA (557 nucleotides) under uncultured Rhizobium sp. RNAcentral's name for it is "bacterial SSU rRNA". It matches the Rfam family "Bacterial small subunit ribosomal RNA", at positions 102 to 694 of the family's 1533-position model. The record is from RNAcentral. Lineage: Bacteria; Pseudomonadati; Pseudomonadota; Alphaproteobacteria; Hyphomicrobiales; Rhizobiaceae.